CCCUUAGAUGCUCUGGGCCGCACGCGCGCUACACUGGUCGAUGCAACGAGUUUCUUUCCUUGGCCGACAGGCCUGGGCAAUCUUUGAACAUCGAUCGUGAUCGGGAUAGAUUCUUGUAAUUUUUGAUCUUAAACGAGGAAUUCCUAGUAAACGCAAGUCAUCAGCUUGCAUUGAUUACGUCCCUGCCCUUUGUACACACCGCCCGUCGUACCUACCGAUUGAAUGGUCCGGUGAAAUCUCCGGACUGGCGUGAGUCGGAGCAAUCUGACAAACGCCGGAAAGUUGAUUAAACCUUACCAUUUAGAGGAAGGUGAAGUCGUAACA
This 324-nucleotide ribosomal RNA is filed under the name uncultured eukaryote. RNAcentral's name for it is "partial 18S ribosomal RNA". It matches the Rfam family "Eukaryotic small subunit ribosomal RNA", at positions 1470 to 1796 of the family's 1831-position model. The record is from RNAcentral.